This is a non-coding RNA of Pelobates cultripes (western spadefoot toad), 216 nucleotides long. The record is from the annotation of a GenBank genome assembly. NCBI's taxonomy places the organism in Eukaryota, Metazoa, Chordata, Amphibia, Anura, Pelobatidae.
CUUGAAAUGAAGCAAUAUGGUGUAAGAUAUUCAACAGACACCAGCUUACCUUUACCCAAGCCCUGGCUAAGUACUGGUGGUCCCUCCUGUCUGUUACAUAGUACCCAGUAGAUGGCUUCUGUCCGUUGGUGUAAAUUUGUUGUUCUCCUGUGCAACAAAAUGAGUUCCUCUUCCAGUUCAUCAAUAAGUGAGAAUGACAAACGACUUAGAUCGGAG